CACCUGCAGCGUGGCAGCCUCAGCACAGCUCUGGGGCGUCUGCACCAUGGCCUGGGCCCCCCUCCUCCUCCUCACCCUCCUCCUCCACUGCACAGGGUCCCUCUCCCAGCCUGUGCUGACUCAGCCGCCCUCUGCAUCUGCCUCCCUGGGAGCCUCGGCCAAGCUCACCUGCACCCUGAGCAGUGGACACAGCAACUAUGGCAUUGCGUGGCAUCAGCAGCAGCCGGGGAAGGCCCCUCGGUACUUGAUGUAUGUUAAUAGUGAUGGAAGCCACGGUAAGGGGGACGGGAUCCCCGAUCGCUUCUCAGGCUCCAGCUCCGGGGCUGACCGCUACUUAACCAUCUCCAACAUCCAGUCCGAGGACGAGGCUGACUAUUACUGUGGCGCAGAUUAUAGCACUGCUGGUUCAUAUGGUUGA
Lemur catta (Ring-tailed lemur) is the source of this 418-nucleotide non-coding RNA. Lineage: Eukaryota; Metazoa; Chordata; Mammalia; Primates; Lemuridae. The record is from the annotation of a RefSeq genome assembly.